GUGCAAUAUAAAAGAGAGGGAAGAAAAAAAAUCAUAAUUUUACUUGUUCUCAAAAUGACAUAGCAGAGCCAUUACCUAUUCACCUUCUAUUUUGCGGGAUUCACUUCAUACCACCGACAUCGUUCUUCUCUUCUUUGGACAAAGACUCGCACCUGAAACCCAUCUUCUCCUCAAGUCUUGCUGUCAUCACAGCGUGUUUCAUCGAAACCAAUAGAUUCAGUUAACACGCAGACCCAUUUACCAAGCAAACAAACCUAUUCUACUUUCUCUCGCUAUCCCUUUCUCUUUCAAUUCACAGCGCCAAUACAUCUCCUAUCAAUAACCUUGAGAGCCGAAUUUCUUUUGGAAUCAAUAUCCAGUCAUAUUUGUCCUCUAAUAGAUUUGGGUAAAAGUUAUUUGCAUUUAUUUAUUUAUUAUUAUUAUUGUUGAUUUGUUGAACAUUUUAAGCUUUGAAGUAUUUAUCUUUUAACUAUUGUGUUUUCUUUGAUAUUUAUCCUGAUUAAUUUUACCUUGGGAAUAUUCAUCACUGUUUCUUGGGAGAAUUCCAUUGUAAAGAUUAAUUUCAUUGCUGAAAUUCCCAAAAUCGAAUCAUAUGGCUAAUAUACUUAAAAUCAACUAAUCUGUGUAUAUUGCAGGUAUGACUUAACUCAUUAACUUGUUUUCUUGAUUGUCUUUAUUUUUCUACAUUAUGGUUUUAGAUUUCUUAUUCUAAAAUUCCAUAUUUCAUGAAUUUAUGGGGUCCAUAACCUUCUUUUUUUCUUUUGCACUUAUGCUUUUUGAAUAAGCUGUGGUAUUCGAUGUGUUAAAAAUGAUUUAUUUUCCCCUAAAAGUCGUUGUACCCAUAAAUUUCAAUGAAGAUGUUUUGGUAUUUGGUUAAUGGGUAUUUCCCACCAGGUCACGAUAUUGAUUUUUAGGAUUUAGUUGAGGAACUCUUGAGGUAGGCCCAUCUUAAUAGAUCCCAUUAUUUGGAUGGUAUUGGUGGUUUGGUGAUCAAAUUUUCAAGUUUCGGUAUUGCUGCUCCAAUUUUGAUUUCUAUUAUUAUUAUUAUUAUUAUUA
Molecule: unclassified non-coding RNA, 1056 nt
Filed under: Hevea brasiliensis (rubber tree)
Lineage: Eukaryota; Viridiplantae; Streptophyta; Magnoliopsida; Malpighiales; Euphorbiaceae
Source: RNAcentral